This 145-nucleotide ribosomal RNA is filed under the name uncultured Bacillota bacterium. RNAcentral describes it as "uncultured Firmicutes bacterium partial 16S ribosomal RNA". It matches the Rfam family "Bacterial small subunit ribosomal RNA", at positions 363 to 525 of the family's 1533-position model. The record is from RNAcentral. Lineage: Bacteria; Bacillati; Bacillota.
AUUGGUCAAUGGCCGAGAGGCUGAACCAGCCAAGUCGCGUGAGGGAUGACGGUUUUCGGAUUGUAAACCUCUGUCCUCUGUGAAGAUAGUGACGGUAGCAGAGGAGGAAGCUCCGGCUAACUACGUGCCAGCAGCCGCGGUAAUA